GCGGAGAGGUCGUCCUCUUUGGAGAUGCUAAGUUGGCUACCCAGAUGUUCGAAUUUUUUUGACAUUUUCCCCUCAAGCUCGCUCUUGCUUUCGUUUGGAAGUUGAGCGCUAAAGAUGAUCAGAUCGCCCUGAAUGGCUGUGAUUGUUAAA
This is a long non-coding RNA of Zingiber officinale, 150 nucleotides long. RefSeq lists it as uncharacterized. Lineage: Eukaryota; Viridiplantae; Streptophyta; Magnoliopsida; Zingiberales; Zingiberaceae. The transcript is spliced from 3 exons. The record is from RefSeq and is a predicted model, not a curated record.